CAGGGCGGCAGCGUACACAUGCAGUCGAGCGGUAACAGGGGUAGCUUGCUACCCGCUGACGAGCGGCGGAUUGGUGUGUAAUGCAUAGGAAUCUGCCCGAUAGUGGGGGAUAACCUGGGGAAACCCAGGCUAAUACCGCAUACGUCCUACGGGAGAAAGGGGGCUCCGGCUCCCGCUAUUGGAUGAGCCUAUGUCGGAUUAGCUAGUUGGUGAGGUAAUGGCUCACCAAGGCAACGAUCCGUAGCUGGUCUGAGAGGAUGAUCAGCCACAUCGGGACUGAGACACGGCCCGAACUCCUACGGGAGGCAGCAGUGGGGAAUAUUGGACAAUGGGCGAAAGCCUGAUCCAGCCAUGCCGCGUGUGUGAAGAAGGCCUUCGGGUUGUAAAGCACUUUCAGCGAGGAAGAACGCCUAGUGGUUAAUACCCAUUAGGAAAGACAUCACUCGCAGAAGAAGCACCGGCUAACUCCGUGCCAGCAGCCGCGGUAAUACGGAGGGUGCAAGCGUUAAUCGGAAUUACUGGGCGUAAAGCGCGCGUAGGUGGCUUGAUAAGCCGGUUGUGAAAGCCCCGGGCUCAACCUGGGAACGGCAUCCGGAACUGUCAAGCUA
This is a ribosomal RNA of 608 nucleotides. It matches the Rfam family "Bacterial small subunit ribosomal RNA", at positions 36 to 643 of the family's 1533-position model.